RNAcentral lists this ribosomal RNA (430 nucleotides) under Bacillota bacterium. Its description in RNAcentral is "Firmicutes bacterium partial 16S ribosomal RNA". It matches the Rfam family "Bacterial small subunit ribosomal RNA", at positions 355 to 776 of the family's 1533-position model. The record is from RNAcentral. Lineage: Bacteria; Bacillati; Bacillota.
UGGGGAAUAUUGGACAAUGGGCGCAAGCCUGAUCCAGCCAUGCCGCGUGUGUGAAGAAGGCCUUUUGGUUGUAAAGCACUUUAAGCGAGGAGGAGGCUACUUGGAUUAAUACUCUAGGAUAGUGGACGUUACUCGCAGAAUAAGCACCGGCUAACUCUGUGCCAGCAGCCGCGGUAAUACAGAGGGUGCGAGCGUUAAUCGGAUUUACUGGGCGUAAAGCGUGCGUAGGCGGCUUUUUAAGUCGGAUGUGAAAUCCCUGAGCUUAACUUAGGAAUUGCAUUCGAUACUGGGAAGCUAGAGUAUGGGAGAGGAUGGUAGAAUUCCAGGUGUAGCGGUGAAAUGCGUAGAGAUCUGGAGGAAUACCGAUGGAGAAGGCAGCCAUCUGGCCUAAUACUGACGCUGAGGUACGAAAGCAUGGGGAGCAAACAGG